Molecule: ribosomal RNA, 469 nt
Filed under: uncultured bacterium
Lineage: Bacteria
Description: partial 16S ribosomal RNA
Rfam family: Bacterial small subunit ribosomal RNA
Source: RNAcentral
GACGAACGCUGGCGGCGUGCUUAACACAUGCAAGUCGAACGGAAAGGCCCUGCUUUUGUGGGGUGCUCGAGUGGCGAACGGGUGAGUAACACGUGAGUAACCUGCCCUUGACUUUGGGAUAACUUCAGGAAACUGGGGCUAAUACCGGAUAGGAGCUCCUGCUGCAUGGUGGGGGUUGGAAAGUUUCGGCGGUUGGGGAUGGACUCGCGGCUUAUCAGCUUGUUGGUGGGGUAGUGGCUUACCAAGGCGUUGACGGGUAGCCGGCCUGAGAGGGUGGCCGGGCACAUUGGGGAUGUGAGACGCGCCAGACUCCCCUGGGGGGGAGAGGGGGGGGAUAUUGCACACUGGGGGCAAGCCCGAGGCAGGGACGCCCCGUGGGGGGUGAGGGGCCUUGGGUUUUGAACUCCUUUCGCCCGGGACAAAGAGGUGUGGGAAGGUAAAUGGAGAAGAAGCACCGGCUAAACAAGUG